UACAGAGGUCUCAAGCGUUGUUCGGAUUCAUUGGGCGUAAAGGGUGUGUAGGUGGCGCGCUAAGUCGGGUGUGAAAUUUCGGAGCUUAACUCCGAAACUGCAUUCGAUACUGGCGUGCUUGAGGACUGGAGAGGAGACUGGAAUUCACGGUGUAGCAGUGAAAUGCGUAGAUAUCGUGAGGAAGGCCAGUGGCGAAGGCGGGUCUCUGGACAGUUCCUGACACUGAGGCACGAAGGCCAGGGGAGCAAACGGG
Molecule: ribosomal RNA, 253 nt
Filed under: uncultured bacterium
Lineage: Bacteria
Description: partial 16S ribosomal RNA
Rfam family: Bacterial small subunit ribosomal RNA
Source: RNAcentral